This 425-nucleotide ribosomal RNA is filed under the name Nesterenkonia sp. AmSamDD76. RNAcentral's name for it is "bacterial SSU rRNA". It matches the Rfam family "Bacterial small subunit ribosomal RNA", at positions 79 to 516 of the family's 1533-position model. The record is from RNAcentral. Lineage: Bacteria; Bacillati; Actinomycetota; Actinomycetes; Micrococcales; Micrococcaceae.
CUUGCACGGUUGGAUUAGUGGCGAACGGGUGAGUAUCACGUGAGUAACCUUCCCUUAACUCUGGGAUAAGCCCGGGAAACUGGGUCUAAUACCGGAUACGACCAGUCCUCGCAUGGGGUGCUGGUGGAAAGAUUUAUCGGUUUUGGAUGGACUCGCGGCCUAUCAGCUUGUUGGUGAGGUAAUGGCUCACCAAGGCGAUGACGGGUAGCCGGCCUGAGAGGGUGACCGGCCACACUGGGACUGAGACACGGCCCAGACUCCUACGGGAGGCAGCAGUGGGGAAUAUUGCACAAUGGGCGAAAGCCUGAUGCAGCGACGCCGCGUGCGGGAUGACGGCCUUCGGGUUGUAAACCGCUUUCAGCAGGGAAGAAGCGAAAGUGACGGUACCUGCAGAAGAAGCGCCGGCUAACUACGUGCCAGCAGCC